AACGAACGCUGGCGGCAUGCCUAACACAUGCAAGUCGAACGAUUGCCUUCGGGUGAUAGUGGCGCACGGGUGCGUAACGCGUGGGAAUCUGCCCUUAGGUUCGGAAUAACAGCUGGAAACGGCUGCUAAUACCGGAUGAUAUCGCGAGAUCAAAGAUUUAUCGCCUGAGGAUGAGCCCGCGUUGGGUUAGGUAGUUGGUGGGGGAAAGGCCUGCCGAGCCAACGAUCCAUAGCUGGUCUGAGAGGAUGAUCAGCCAAACUGGGACUGAGACACGGCCCAGACUCCCACGGAAGGCCGCAGUGGGGAAUAUUGGACAAUGGGCGCAAGCUUGAUCCAGCAAUGCCGCGUGAGUGAUGAAGGCCCUAGGGUUGUAAAGCUCUUUUACCCGGGAAGAUAAUGACUGUACCGGGAGAAUAAGCCCGGGCUAACUCCGUG
RNAcentral lists this ribosomal RNA (435 nucleotides) under uncultured bacterium. RNAcentral's name for it is "partial 16S ribosomal RNA". It matches the Rfam family "Bacterial small subunit ribosomal RNA", at positions 29 to 507 of the family's 1533-position model. The record is from RNAcentral.